GCAAAGGUGGCAAUCUACUAAACC
Molecule: non-coding RNA, 24 nt
Filed under: Arabidopsis thaliana (thale cress)
Lineage: Eukaryota; Viridiplantae; Streptophyta; Magnoliopsida; Brassicales; Brassicaceae
Source: RNAcentral